CAUGAGCCCCCCCACACCGUCGGCCUCUUGGUGCCAUGUCUGCAUCAAAUAAUAUAUUAGAGAUAAUAUAAUAUAGAUAAAAAUUAUAUCAAUAUCAAGUAUUCUAUUUUACUUUAUUUAGUAUUAUUAUUUUUACUUUUUUUAUUAUUUUUAUUAAUAAAUUAUUAAUUUUUAAAAUAUAAUCUUAAAAAAAUAAUUCUUUUAUUUUUUCCCUUCCUUCUUCUUCCCCUGCACGCCACAACCACCCAACCCUUGGUUGCGCCACC
This 266-nucleotide long non-coding RNA is filed under the name Elaeis guineensis (African oil palm). RNAcentral describes it as "long non-coding RNA (EGUI_LNC027521)". The record is from RNAcentral. Lineage: Eukaryota; Viridiplantae; Streptophyta; Magnoliopsida; Arecales; Arecaceae.